RNAcentral lists this long non-coding RNA (3077 nucleotides) under Glycine max (soybean). RNAcentral describes it as "long non-coding RNA (GMAX_LNC001944)". Lineage: Eukaryota; Viridiplantae; Streptophyta; Magnoliopsida; Fabales; Fabaceae. The record is from RNAcentral.
UUGCUUAUUUCUCCUAACUCAUAUUUUUACUUAAGCGUCAGAGUCUUUUGUUUUGCAAGUAUCCCUCCUGUUCUCUUGAUAAAGACACCUCUCAAAAUCAACAUGUGAAAUCCAUAGUCCUCUUCGGUCACGUCCACCCUGACAUGUGUUAAGUCUAAAUUUUGAUUAAAACAUUACCUAUAUACCAUUGUCAAAUAGUCAUUUAAAUUAUGUUAUAUUGAUGCAAGUCAAUAUAUUUAUUACACGCAAAGGCAGAAGCAAUACAUAAUUAUAGCAAGCGCUUGAAAAGGUCAAAUAAGAAAGAUAAAAAAAAAGGAGAAAAAUAAUGUUAACUUGAAAGGUUGGGCCCAAGUGCCGAACGAUAGGAAUCUCAUCGAUAAUUUGUGUUGAUAAUUUAAGAUUAAUGUCAUAAGGAGGCAACAUGACAAUAAUUUUUUUAAAAAAUCUUUUAUGGCCAACAUUUUCUUCUCUUACAGUAAAAGAUAUUUAAAUAAACUCAUUUUAGCUUAAUAACUAGCUUUUAAUUUUGUUUGUGCCUUAUCUAUAUUAUUGAGUGUACGACAUCACAUUUCCCACUCUACUACAGCUACCUACGUUUUUUUUUUUUUUUUUUGUUGAUACAGGAUUACAGGUACUUACGGUUGUGAAACAACUUUCAUUAUAAACUCAAAAUUACAUUCUUUACAGGCAUGCUAUAAAUUCUAUUUAGCAUUCAAUCGGCACAUAAACCUAUCUAAAACUUAAUUUAGCGUUAAGGAUAACGACGAUUAAGAAUGAGUAGCUCAAGUUUCAGAUCAAAUCAAUACUUCAUUUAUUUUUGAGAAUCAGGCCGAAUGAAUACUAACCCAUCCAAAAUGUCGUUAAAUUAUUCUCUAACCAAGGAAAAUAUUGGAUAAGAAGGUUAAUUAUGUAAUUUUUUUUCAAAAAAAAUCUAUAUAAGUUGCACAUACUGUAAUGUAUAAUCCAACAAAUUGGAAACAUCCUUUGUUAUAAUGAUUCUUUUAAUGUUUUUAACAAGAAGCAUUUUGGAAGAUUAGUUUAAUGUGUAUUUGAUUGUGGUUUUGACAUUAUAUCUCUGUUUUGUUAUGUCAAACAUUUUUUUUAUAGACCUUGUUAUGUCAAGCAUAAUAACUCCACAAAGGAAUUCGAGUUCAAUACUUAAGCACAAUCAUACUUGCUCUUCAAGGAAACUGAGGGCGACAAAGGAAUAUAUUAUUAUUAUUAUUAUACAUUUGGUGUAUAGCUUUUAUGUUCCUCAAUUGACACAAAGUACUACAAUAGUUUUCUCUAUUUUUAUCAUUCUAAUUUAAUAAAACUACUAAUUAAUUUACGCGCCGGCGUAGAUUUCUUUUUUCUCUUUUUAGGUUUCACUAGAUCAAUCAAAAUGAAAGCCUCUGUUUUGAAAGGAUGAUUCUUCAUUCUUAAGAAUAAAUUUUUCUAAAAUGUUAUUUGAAUAAAUUGUAUUUGAAAAUUUAUUGUACUCAUGUUUAGUAAUUCUGAAAGAAAAAUGUUAGAAAUAAAUUCUUUAACAUGUUAUUUUUUUAAUCAUCCACUAAAAUCCAUUAAGAAUCACAAAAUACUUUGUAGCUCAUGUUCUCUAUUUAAUAAGUCUUGUUCAAAACAUUUUUAUUUUCUAAUAAUUUUUUUUGGCUUACACGGCCCCUAAUGCCAUUUUCUAAUAAAUUUUAAUUAAUAAUAAAGAAUGUGUUAAAAAAAAAGAGCAUUCUUAACUAACAUUUCUCUUUUGAAAAAAAAAAUCAUCAAUUUGAUUUAAAAAAAUCAAAAUAAAUUAAUAAUCAAAUUAACGUCUUAAAAACUUAAAUCAACUUUAUAUCACUAUGGAGAUUAGUUUAAUUGGUUAAACAAAUUAUAUGAAUGUUACAAAUCUCUCCUGUACUCAAUUUCUAUGGAUAAAAAAAAUUAUCUUUAUAUUAGUCUUCUUAAAAUUUUGUGACUAAAAUUGUUUGUCAAGAAUUUAAUCUAUCACCAAAUUAAUCUUUCAAAAAUCUAAAAUGUCCUUAUAUUAGUCCUUAUAGAUGAUUAAAGUAGUGACAUAAAAGAAUUCUUGAAAGAUUAAUUUAAUAAUGUACUAAUUUUAUGGUAAUUAAUUUUAUGACUACAUCUUUAAAAGCUAAAAUAGUGACAAAAAAGUUGGUUAUUUUUUAAAAAGAAUAAUGUUGUAAAACAAGUAGCUAGUAUGUUUUGUGGCUUAAAUAUUUUUUUUAAAAAAAGCUAAUCACAGGACAAAAAAUACAUGUAAAACUAAAUAAAAAUGUCUUUUUUUUCCUCCUACUAUAACUGUGCAUAUAAAAGUAUAAAACUACUAUUUAUUUUGUUAAACUCAAUUAUUAUUAAAUCACUGAUUACAAAUUUUAUUUAAUGCAAUGAUUUUUAAGUCAAAAAAUAAUUAUUAAACUAUACAUUGUCCGGAAUCAUUUUCACGUAUACCACAUAAUAAUUUUAUAGAAUAUAAUGUUAAGACAACUCCGAUAGUAGAUUCAACGUGUUUUAGUGGGACAAUUAUUNNNNNNNNNNNNNNNNNNNNNNNNNNNNNNNNNNNNNNNNNNNNNNNNNNNNNNNNNNNNNNNNNNNNNNNNNNNNNNNNNNNNNNNNNNNNNNNNNNNNACGCUGCGCGUAAUAUUUAUUAUAUUUUUAAAUAAAUCAUAAUUUUUUUAUUUUAUAUUUUUUAAUUACUUCAAUAACUAGUCUGAACACUUAUAAUUUAAUGAGAUAACUUUUCAAUUUUUAAUUAAUUUUCCACUAAUUUUAUUAACCACAAUCAUAACCAAUCCAUGUUAAAUUCAAUUUUCAAAAAAUACAAUCUUAAUAAGAAAUUAAAAUAGAAGAUUUUGAAUGUGACUUAACUUUAAACCAAAACUCCUAAGAAUAUCUCAAUCAACUCCCACAAAAGAAUCAAAAGCCCUAAUUACCAUGUUUUGAAAAAAAAAAAAAAACAAUGUACAAAUGAUUAAAUUAAUUGAAGGAAAUUUAUACAAUUGGAGAGUUUAGUUUAGGAAGUACCUGUUACUCCAAGUAUAUUAUCUGUCCAUCGUAAAGAGUUUGCUAGUUGCUACGUU